AACUCAUUUUAAUAGCGCUCUGCCCCGACUUGUAAUGUAAAAUUCAUUGCCAAUGGGGGCCUGGAUGCACGCCUCUUGGAACAGAGCAGCAACAAGGGUGAUAUUCCUGUUUGUCAUCAUGUGCUUCUCGCGCUGUGUGCAUCUUCAGAAUCACGCUUUUUGGGAAUGGAGUGCNAAGUGGGUGGNAAGUUUCAUGUAAAGAUAAACAUGANNUUGAGACCGGUAGCAAACAAGUACC
RNAcentral lists this ribosomal RNA (238 nucleotides) under Pyrocystis lunula. It matches the Rfam family "Eukaryotic large subunit ribosomal RNA", at positions 106 to 352 of the family's 3401-position model. Lineage: Eukaryota; Dinophyceae; Gonyaulacales; Pyrocystaceae. The record is from RNAcentral.